GAUGAACGCUGGCGGCGUGCUUAACACAUGCAAGUCGAACGGGAAUCACUUCAUUGAGACUUCGGUGGAUUUGAUUUGAUUCUAGUGGCGGACGGGUGAGUAACGCGUGGGUAACCUGCCUUAUACAGGGGGAUAACAGUCAGAAAUGACUGCUAAUACCGCAUAAGCGCACAGGACCGCAUGGUCCGGUGUGAAAAACUCCGGUGGUAUAAGAUGGACCCGCGUUGGAUUAGCUUGUUGGUGGGGUAACGGCCCACCAAGGCGACGAUCCAUAGCCGGCCUGAGAGGGUGAACGGCCACAUUGGGACUGAGACACGGCCCAGACUCCUACGGGAGGCAGCAGUGGGGAAUAUUGCACAAUGGGGGAAACCCUGAUGCAGCGACGCCGCGUGAAGGAAGAAGUAUCUCGGUAUGUAAACUUCUAUCAGCAGGGAAGAUAGUGACGGUACCUGACUAAGAAGCCCCGGCUAACUACGUGCCAGCCGCCGCGGUAA
Molecule: ribosomal RNA, 494 nt
Filed under: uncultured bacterium
Lineage: Bacteria
Description: partial 16S ribosomal RNA
Rfam family: Bacterial small subunit ribosomal RNA
Source: RNAcentral